GUCCCCCUUAAUCAUUUCUGAAAACUUCCUUGGGCAAUGGUUACUUGCUGUGAUGCUGUUUGUGGACAGGGUCCCAGGACUGGAGGCAAGCUCUAAAUUUAAAUGGCCAAAGGAAACCUCAAGUUACCUGAGAAUCAAAAAACACCAAAUGAGCCAGAUGACAACAGAUCUGAGUAAGGCAUCUUCAGCAAACACAAACAAAACAGCGGCGCUAUGUGUGAUUGAAUCAAGAAGGAGUUAAGGAAGAGGAAUAUCACAAACGCAAGUCCACACAGCUUUAUGGAAACAAGUCUUGACAAGCAGGCCUGACUUCACUUUCUGAUGAGAUUACAAGUUUGUUUGAUCAAGGUAA
Molecule: non-coding RNA, 352 nt
Organism: Coturnix japonica (Japanese quail)
Lineage: Eukaryota; Metazoa; Chordata; Aves; Galliformes; Phasianidae
Source: RefSeq, a predicted model, not a curated record